Molecule: long non-coding RNA, 891 nt
Filed under: Vulpes vulpes (red fox)
Lineage: Eukaryota; Metazoa; Chordata; Mammalia; Carnivora; Canidae
Description: lncRNA (ENSVVUG00000020851.1)
Source: RNAcentral
UUGUUGUCAUAGAAAAAGAAUUAGAUAGAUAGUCACAUUCUAGAAAGAGCAAAGUCAUAAAUACUUCUGUGCUCAAGCUCUCUCAUUAUUCUUGUCUUAGGAGAUGGAUGUCAAGUCAAUCUUUCACAAAUCUCAUUUCAGACUGUUUUGGAGAGGAUUUAAUCCACUGUGAGCCAACAAAGGGAAGAUAUGUUUUCCAAGGUGCCAAGUUUCUUUCAAAGACUCCAAAGGAAAAGAUUUACUUGCAGAUGCUCGGAGAAUACCGUCUCAAGCCCAGGGCGAUGCAUUAUCUAUAGAAGAGCAGCAUAAAGCCAUGAUGUUGAGUUGCUUCCAGUUAAAAGAAAGGAAAAAGAAAAGAAAAGAAAUGAAAAGAAGAGAAGAGAAGAGAAGAGAGAGAAGAGAAGAGAAAAGAAAAAAGAAAAGAAAGAAAAGAAAAGAAAAGAAAAGAAAAGAAAAGAAAAGAAAAGAAAAGAAAAGAAAAGAAAAGAAAAAAGCAGGUGAUUUUGCAUACAAAUCAGAUUUCCAGCCUCUAAAGAACAAUUGUGAAAUUUCCCAGUUCUGGUCCAUGGGCUCCCAUGGUGAUGCCAUGUGCAGAGGUAGCCUUUCUGAGACUGGGCAUGUUCUCUCCACUGCUCUGCCUCCUGGACUGACGUUGACCAUAUGACAUAUCCAAUUACUGACUUGUGCUAUUGUUUUUCUUAUAGUUAGGAGAAAAGUGAAGUAUUUCUCGUCGACAUGUCUCUGUCCAAAGGGAAAAUAUGAAAAAUAGACCAAGACAGCUGUACAGAAAGGAUGCAUGAUGCAGUUUUAUGAAUGAGAAAAGAAAUCCCAAUAGAAUUGUUUUUGAAUCUAAUAGAAUGAAUGAUGCUACAGUGAGAUGUUCAAAACACA